Molecule: ribosomal RNA, 253 nt
Filed under: uncultured bacterium
Lineage: Bacteria
Description: partial 16S ribosomal RNA
Rfam family: Bacterial small subunit ribosomal RNA
Source: RNAcentral
UACGAAGGGGGCUAGCGUUGUUCGGAAUCACUGGGCGUAAAGCGUGCGCAGGCGGUGAUGUAAGACAGAUGUGAAAUCCCCGGGCUCAACCUGGGAACUGCAUUUGUGACUGCAUCGCUAGAGUACGGCAGAGGGGGAUGGAAUUCCGCGUGUAGCAGUGAAAUGCGUAGAUAUGCGGAGGAACACCGAUGGCGAAGGCAAUCCCCUGGGCCUGUACUGACGCUCAUGCACGAAAGCGUGGGGAGCAAACAGG